CUUGGUCAUUUAGAGGAAGUAAAAGUCGUAACAAGGUUUCCGUAGGUGAACCUGCGGAAGGAUCAUUACAGAGUUCAUGCCCUCACGGGUAGAUCUCCCACCCUUUGUUAACCAAACAUUGUUGCUUUGUCUGGCCCGACUCUCGGGUCCGCCGGCCUUCGGGCUGGUCAGUGCCGGACAGAGGAAACCAAAACCUUUAUCACUGUCGUCAGAGUACUAUAUAAUAGUUAAAACUUUCAACAACGGAUCUCU
This 252-nucleotide unclassified non-coding RNA is filed under the name uncultured fungus. RNAcentral's name for it is "sequence contains ITS1". The stretch from base 1 to 68 matches the Rfam family "Eukaryotic small subunit ribosomal RNA", at positions 1764 to 1831 of the family's 1831-position model. The record is from RNAcentral. Lineage: Eukaryota; Fungi.